Quercus robur (English oak) is the source of this 1257-nucleotide long non-coding RNA. RefSeq lists it as uncharacterized. NCBI's taxonomy places the organism in Eukaryota, Viridiplantae, Streptophyta, Magnoliopsida, Fagales, Fagaceae. The transcript is spliced from 2 exons. The record is from RefSeq and is a predicted model, not a curated record.
CACAUUAAUUCGUCAAAUGUAAAAAGCCCAUUAACACCCAGUUGAAAACCCAACAAAAAGACAGACCCUAUCGCCCAAGUUACAGAGAAAGGGAAAGCAAAGAAUGUACAACAAAUUUUAAUUUUUUUUUUUUUUUUGGAGAGAAUAUACAACAAAUUUUUGAUAGACUGAAAAGAGAGUUGGGGGGCAGAGCAAGACUGCAACUGCAAGAGCUAAAGCUGGAGACGGCAAAGUUGAAGUUGGAUUGCAGAUGGAGGAGAACGAAGGCGGCGGUGGUGGGACUGGGACUGAGACCUACAGCCACAUCUAGUGGGCCCAGUUGGGGUGGGCCAUAUCUUCCUUCAAAAGAGGCCACGCCGACGACUCUCCGUCGCCUCCCUCUUCGUUGGCGCCAUCGCCACCGCCGCCGUUUCCGUCCUCCACGUCUCCGGCAUCCACAAGCUUGGAUCAGCAUGGGUAUGGAGGACAAGGUGUUUCAGAAAUUAAAUAAAAAUGGUUGUUUUAGUGCUCAUUUGUAUUAUGAAGUAUUAUUAUGAAGCAUUAUAAAGGAACUAAUACGUUUUGGGAAUGUACCAGUGCUCAGAAAUGUUAAUUAGAAUCAGGGUUGUUGAAAAAGCUCUCGUUGGGCCGGCAUAUGCUGUUCAUUGAAGUGGUGAGAAAGUUGUUGCAAACACUUGACACACUGAAUCUGAAGCCAUUUUUCAUGGCUAUAUGGAUGUAAUAGAAAUGCUCAAUGGAGAGGAGAGAAGAAUCAACAGGCACAAGCUCCGUUCCAUUGAAAUGGAACCCACCACAUCUCAUCAUUUUAAGAUGAACAGGGCACUGGCCAACAGAGUGAGCUUUGGUAUUGUUAUUAGAGACAGCAAUGGAGCAGUUAUGGUGGCUUGCAGAGACCAGCUUCCUCUCAGGGUGAUCAACUGCAGAUGGCAACCAACUUAUCACUGAAAGCCAUGAACUUCAGUUAAGAUAUUGGAAUUGUGGACCUGGUUAAUGGUUACCGAGUUUGCAAAUAGCUCCUUGCACUGCUCAACUCAAAGGAACCUUGCCUAUUGGAGAUUUCGGAUUUGCUGGAACCUAUUUGAUCUUUUUGUUGCAUUGAUCAAUACUUUAACAUGGUUGAAUUCAAUUGGGGAAUCUAAUAGAUUAAUUUAAUUUUGCCAGAGAUUAAGGGCUCCUAUGAGGGUGAUUUUAUAUAUGUGGACUUCUUUUGGAAAGUUAUGAUAGAAAAUUUUAUGAAGUGAGUAUGUUGAUCCAUCA